CGCGAAACCUUUACACUGCACGACAGUGCGAUAGGGGAACUCCGAGUGCGAGGGCAUAGAGCCCUCGCUUUUCUGCACCGUAAGGUGGUGCAGGAACAAGUGCUGGGCAAGACCGGUGCCAGCCGCCGCGGUAAUACCGGCAGCACGAGUGAUGGCCGAUCUUAUUGGGCCUAAAGCGUCCGUAGCUGGCCGUGCAAGUCCGUCGGGAAAUCCAGUGGCUCAACCUCUGGGCUUCCGGCGGAAACUGCUCGGCUUGGGACCGGAAGACUCGAGGGGUACGUUCGGGGUAGGAGUGAAAUCCCGUAAUCCUGAACGGACCACCGAUGGCGAAAGCACCUCGAGAGCACAGAUCCGACAGUGAGGGACGAAAGCUAGGGUCUCGAACCGGAUUAGAUACCCGGGUAGUCCUAGCUGUUAACGAUGCCCGCUCGGUUCGGCGCAGGCUACGAGCCUGUGCCGCGCCUCAGUGAAGACGUAAGCGGGCCGCCUGGGAAGUACGUCCGCAAGGAUGAAACUUAAAGGAAUUGGCGGGGGAGCACUACAACCGGAGGAGCCUGCGGUUUAAUUG
Molecule: ribosomal RNA, 568 nt
Filed under: haloarchaeon enrichment culture clone B1A-C16
Lineage: Archaea; Methanobacteriati; Methanobacteriota; Halobacteria; Halobacteriales
Description: bacterial SSU rRNA
Rfam family: Archaeal small subunit ribosomal RNA
Source: RNAcentral